RNAcentral lists this ribosomal RNA (543 nucleotides) under Cylindrospermum muscicola ISB47. Its description in RNAcentral is "bacterial SSU rRNA". It matches the Rfam family "Bacterial small subunit ribosomal RNA", at positions 102 to 676 of the family's 1533-position model. Lineage: Bacteria; Bacillati; Cyanobacteriota; Cyanophyceae; Nostocales; Nostocaceae. The record is from RNAcentral. RNAcentral also lists the same sequence under 1 other name.
ACGGGUGAGUAACGCGUGAGAAUCUAGCUUCAGGUCGGGGACAACCACUGGAAACGGUGGCUAAUACCGGAUGUGCCGAGAGGUGAAAGGCUUGCUGCCUGAAGAUGAGCUCGCGUCUGAUUAGCUAGUUGGUGGGGUAAGAGCCUACCAAGGCGACGAUCAGUAGCUGGUCUGAGAGGAUGAUCAGCCACACUGGGACUGAGACACGGCCCAGACUCCUACGGGAGGCAGCAGUGGGGAAUUUUCCGCAAUGGGCGAAAGCCUGACGGAGCAAUACCGCGUGAGGGAGGAAGGCUCUUGGGUUGUAAACCUCUUUUCUCAGGGAAGAAAAAAAUGACGGUACCUGAGGAAUAAGCAUCGGCUAACUCCGUGCCAGCAGCCGCGGUAAUACGGAGGAUGCAAGCGUUAUCCGGAAUGAUUGGGCGUAAAGCGUCCGCAGGUGGCUAUGAAAGUCUGUUGUUAAAGAGCAAGGCUCAACCUUGUAAAGGCAGUGGAAACUACAUGGCUAUAGUGCGUUCGGGGCAGAGGGAUAUUCCUUGGUGU